CGGCCGCGUUAUCGAAGCCGGAGGAGCGACGCGACGGUCUCCUCGUCUUCUCUCCGUUCAUCUCUCGCGCGCGUCUCGACGACCGUUCGCGCUCACUUCCACUCUUGGCGAACGUUUCAUAAAUAAGCCUUUGUGCGACCCAUCUGGAAAUUGAAUUGAAAAGUUCGUCUCGCCCACACCGUGGGAAAACUGAAAACGACACCGCGGCGCAGAUCGGCGCGCACGACCGUCGACAACGUCAAUUUUCUGGACAAUUUUUCCCUCCGCCUCGCGCCGGUCCACCAUCAUCGUGGUGCGCUUCGUUUAUUCGCAUUCAACCGGUUGAAAUCUCAUUUAUUACCCGUAUGCAAUUUUGCCCCGAUGCUUUGCCGCGCCGCGCCGUCGAGCUACCGCUGCACCGGUAGUAGUAGUCGGUCGGCUUUUGCAACCGCGACGCGUCGUACGACGACAAAACCGUUCGCGCGCGAAGCGCGACGUAAUUUCUGACGCGAAUAAUCCUCGUUCGCUUCAAUUCGCUGUAGUAAUAUACGGAGUGAUCCGGCCAUUAUCGUCAACACGGCUCGGUGUUUAUUGUAUUUGUCGUCGAUGCUGCAUCGCGCGCGACGAUGAUAAUGCAAUUCGUGAUGUGGAUGCAACGCUGACGAAGGCAACAUCUCGCUUCGCGACAGAACGAGAGACAAAAUAACCAUGAAGUCUGGUCACGAGUCUUGGAGAGCAUUUAGCAUAGUUCGUUCGACCAUCAACUACCACUUGACGCGAGAGAAAAAAUUUCACAAGGGCGCCGCGCGAUUGUGAACAAGACCAUUCCACGAAAGAAAGGUAGAACUCCGUUAACUUUUUCGCUAGCCACUUCGUUCAAAUCACUCGGCCAGCAAGGGCAGAUCAUCAGAGACCGAAUAAUUGCCGAGUACGGACUCGUCAUCGCGAAAGAAGGCACUCCGAUCGUCUCUCUUCAAAUCAUUAAUGUUCGUGACACGGAGAAGCAUUAAAACGCUAUCGACGAUACUUGAACUAAAUGCAACAUCAAUUUUUGAUAAUUCUAAAUUACUUAAACUCCGUUAUCUUAUUUAAUCUGCAAAAAUAUUGAUGAGAGAAUAUAUAUCCUAUACAA
Molecule: long non-coding RNA, 1111 nt
Organism: Temnothorax curvispinosus
Lineage: Eukaryota; Metazoa; Arthropoda; Insecta; Hymenoptera; Formicidae
Exons: 3
Source: RefSeq, a predicted model, not a curated record